Molecule: transfer RNA, 64 nt
Filed under: Micromus paganus
Lineage: Eukaryota; Metazoa; Arthropoda; Insecta; Neuroptera; Hemerobiidae
Description: tRNA-Ile
Source: RNAcentral
AAUGAAGUGCCUGAUUAAAGGAUUAUCUUGAUAGGGUAAAUAAUGUAUGAUUUUACCUUCAUUA